RNAcentral lists this ribosomal RNA (1540 nucleotides) under Staphylococcus aureus M0716. RNAcentral describes it as "16S ribosomal RNA". It matches the Rfam family "Bacterial small subunit ribosomal RNA". Lineage: Bacteria; Bacillati; Bacillota; Bacilli; Caryophanales; Staphylococcaceae. The record is from RNAcentral.
AGAGUUUGAUCCUGGCUCAGGAUGAACGCUGGCGGCGUGCCUAAUACAUGCAAGUCGAGCGAACGGACGAGAAGCUUGCUUCUCUGAUGUUAGCGGCGGACGGGUGAGUAACACGUGGAUAACCUACCUAUAAGACUGGGAUAACUUCGGGAAACCGGAGCUAAUACCGGAUAAUAUUUUGAACCGCAUGGUUCAAAAGUAAAAGACGGUCUUGCUGUCACUUAUAGAUGGAUCCGCGCUGCAUUAGCUAGUUGGUAAGGUAACGGCUUACCAAGGCAACGAUGCAUAGCCGACCUGAGAGGGUGAUCGGCCACACUGGAACUGAGACACGGUCCAGACUCCUACGGGAGGCAGCAGUAGGGAAUCUUCCGCAAUGGGCGAAAGCCUGACGGAGCAACGCCGCGUGAGUGAUGGAGGUCUUCGGAUCGUAAAACUCUGUUAUUAGGGAAGAACAUAUGUGUAAGUAACUGUGCACAUCUUGACGGUACCUAAUCAGAAAGCCACGGCUAACUACGUGCCAGCAGCCGCGGUAAUACGUAGGUGGCAAGCGUUAUCCGGAAUUAUUGGGUGUAAAGCGCGCGUAGGCGGUUUUUUAAGUCUGAUGUGAAAGCCCACGGCUCAACCGUGGAGGGUCAUUGGAAACUGGAAAACUUGAGUGCAGAAGAGGAAAGUGGAAUUCCAUGUGUAGCGGUGAAAUGCGCAGAGAUAUGGAGGAACACCAGUGGCGAAGGCGACUUUCUGGUCUGCAACUGACGCUGAUGUGCGAAAGCGUGGGGAUCAAACAGGAUUAGAUACCCUGGUAGUCCACGCCGUAAACGAUGAGUGCUAAGUGUUAGGGGGUUUCCGCCCCUUAGUGCUGCAGCUAACGCAUUAAGCACUCCGCCUGGGGAGUACGACCGCAAGGUUGAAACUCAAAGGAAUUGACGGGGACCCGCACAAGCGGUGGAGCAUGUGGUUUAAUUCGAAGCAACGCGAAGAACCUUACCAAAUCUUGACAUCCUUUGACAACUCUAGAGAUAGAGCCUUCCCCUUCGGGGGACAAAGUGACAGGUGGUGCAUGGUUGUCGUCAGCUCGUGUCGUGAGAUGUUGGGUUAAGUCCCGCAACGAGCGCAACCCUUAAGCUUAGUUGCCAUCAUUAAGUUGGGCACUCUAAGUUGACUGCCGGUGACAAACCGGAGGAAGGUGGGGAUGACGUCAAAUCAUCAUGCCCCUUAUGAUUUGGGCUACACACGUGCUACAAUGGACAAUACAAAGGGCAGCGAAACCGCGAGGUCAAGCAAAUCCCAUAAAGUUGUUCUCAGUUCGGAUUGUAGUCUGCAACUCGACUACAUGAAGCUGGAAUCGCUAGUAAUCGUAGAUCAGCAUGCUACGGUGAAUACGUUCCCGGGUCUUGUACACACCGCCCGUCACACCACGAGAGUUUGUAACACCCGAAGCCGGUGGAGUAACCUUUUAGGAGCUAGCCGUCGAAGGUGGGACAAAUGAUUGGGGUGAAGUCGUAACAAGGUAGCCGUAUCGGAAGGUGCGGCUGGAUCACCU